RNAcentral lists this microRNA precursor (103 nucleotides) under Marmota monax (woodchuck). The record is from RNAcentral. Lineage: Eukaryota; Metazoa; Chordata; Mammalia; Rodentia; Sciuridae.
AGUGGGAUAGUUGGGUGAAAUGGUAGUUCCAUUUCAAGUUUUCUAAGGAAUCUCCAUACUGCUUUCCAGAGUAGCUGCACCAAUUUGCAGUCCCACAAGCAAU